GACGAACGCUGGCGGCGUGCCUAACACAUGCAAGUCGAACGGAAAGGCCCUGCUUUUGUGGGGUGCUUGAGUGGCGAACGGGGGAGUAACACGCGAGUAAACUGCCCCUGACUGUGGGAUAACUCUAGGAAACAGGGGCGAAUACCGGAGAGGAGCUCCUGCUGCACGGGGGGGGAAGGAGAGAUUCGGCGGUUGGGGAUGGUCUCGAGGCUUAUCAGCUUGUUUGUGGGGUAGGGGCUGACCAAGGUUUCGACGGGUAGCCCGCCUGAGAGCGUGACCGGCCUCAUUGGGCCUGAGAUACGGCCCAGAAUCCUACGGGACGCAGCAGUGGGGAAUAUUGCACAAUGGGCGGAAGCCUGAUGCAGCAACGCCGCGUGCGUGAUGACGGCCUUCUGGUUGUAAACCGCUUUCGCCUGUGACGAAGCGUGAGUGACGGUAAUGGGUAAAGAAGCACCGGCUAACUACGUG
RNAcentral lists this ribosomal RNA (468 nucleotides) under uncultured bacterium. Its description in RNAcentral is "partial 16S ribosomal RNA". It matches the Rfam family "Bacterial small subunit ribosomal RNA", at positions 28 to 507 of the family's 1533-position model. The record is from RNAcentral.